This 436-nucleotide RNase P RNA is filed under the name Colwellia sp. MB02u-10. RNAcentral describes it as "RNase P RNA component class A". It matches the Rfam family "Bacterial RNase P class A". Rfam says of the family: Ribonuclease P (RNase P) is a ubiquitous endoribonuclease, found in archaea, bacteria and eukarya as well as chloroplasts and mitochondria. Its best characterised activity is the generation of mature 5'-ends of tRNAs by cleaving the 5'-leader elements of precursor-tRNAs. Cellular RNase Ps are ribonucleoproteins. Lineage: Bacteria; Pseudomonadati; Pseudomonadota; Gammaproteobacteria; Alteromonadales; Colwelliaceae. The record is from RNAcentral.
UGAGUUGACGAGACAAUCGCUGCUUUAUCGUUGUAUCGUUUAUUUUUAAUAAGCGGUAAACAGAUAGAGGGGAGGAAAGUCCGGGCUCCAAUGAACAGGGUGCCAGGUAACGCCUGGGGGGCGCGAGCCCACGACAAGUGCAGCAGAGAGAAGACCGCCGAUGGUUACUUUUUCGAAAGUUUCACAGGUAAGGCUGAAAGGGUGCGGUAAGAGCGCACCGGAUUGCUGGUAACAGUAAUUGCAGGGUAAACUCCACCCGGAGCAAGACCAAAUAGGGUUUCAUGACUAUGUUAACGCAAGUUUUCAUAGUAUAAGCGUGGUUCGCGUGGAAACCGGGUAGGUUGCUUGAGCUAUAGAGCGAUUUAUAGCCUAGACGAAUGAUUGUCACUCUUCCUUGGAAGAGAUACAAAACCCGGCUUAUGCGUCAUCUCACCAA